GAUGAACGCUAGCGGGAGGCCUAACACAUGCAAGCCGAGCGGUAUUGUUUCUUCGGAAAUGAGAGAGCGGCGUACGGGUGCGGAACACGUGUGCAACCUGCCUUUAUCUGGGGGAUAGCCUUUCGAAAGGAAGAUUAAUACACCAUAAUAUAUUGAACGGCAUCGUUUAAUAUUGAAAGCUCCGGCGGAUAGAGAUGGGCACGCGCAAGAUUAGCUAGUUGGUGAGGUAACGGCUCACCAAGGCGAUGAUCUUUAGGGGGCCUGAGAGGGUGAUCCCCCACACUGGUACUGAGACACGGACCAGACUCCUACGGGAGGCAGCAGUGAGGAAUAUUGGUCAAUGGGUGCAAGCCUGAACCAGCCAUCCCGCGUGAAGGACGACUGCCCUAUGGGUUGUAAACUUCUUUUGUAUAGGGAUAAACCUACCCUCGUGAGGGUAGCUGAAGGUACUAUACGAAUAAGCACCGGCUAACUCCGUGCCAGCAGCCGCGGUAAUACGGAGGGUGCAAGCGUUAUCCGGAUUUAUUGGGUUUAAAGGGUCCGUAGGCGGACUUAUAAGUCAGUGGUGAAAGCCUGUCGCUUAACGAUAGAACUGCCAUUGAUACUGUAAGUCUUGAGUAUAUUUGAGGUAGCUGGAAUAAGUAGUGUAGCGGUGAAAUGCAUAGAUAUUACUUAGAACACCAAUUGCGAAGGCAGGUUACCAAGAUAUAACUGACGCUGAGGGACGAAAGCGUGGGGAGCGAACAGGAUUAGAUACCCUGGUAGUCCACGCCGUAAACGAUGCUAACUCGUUUUUGGGCUUUAGGGUUCAGAGACCAAGCGAAAGUGAUAAGUUAGCCACCUGGGGAGUACGCUCGCAAGAGUGAAACCCAAAGGAAUUGACGGGGGCCCGCACAAGCGGUGGAUUAUGUGGUUUAAUUCGAUGAUACGCGAGGAACCUUACCAAGACUUAAAUGGGAAUUGACAGCUUUAGAAAUAGAGCUUUCUUCGGACAAUUUUCAAGGUGCUGCAUGGUUGUCGUCAGCUCGUGCCGUGAGGUGUUAGGUUAAGUCCUGCAACGAGCGCAACCCCUGUCACUAGUUGCCAUCAUUCAGUUGGGGACUCUAGUGAGACUGCCUACGCAAGUAGAGAGGAAGGUGGGGAUGACGUCAAAUCAUCACGGCCCUUACGUCUUGGGCCACACACGUAAUACAAUGGCCGGUACAGAGGGCAGCUACACAGCGAUGUGAUGCAAAUCUCGAAAGCCGGUCUCAGUUCGGAUUGGAGUCUGCAACUCGACUCUAUGAAGCUGGAAUCGCUAGUAAUCGCGCAUCAGCCAUGGCGCGGUGAAUACGUUCCCGGGCCU
Molecule: ribosomal RNA, 1345 nt
Filed under: uncultured bacterium
Lineage: Bacteria
Description: bacterial SSU rRNA
Rfam family: Bacterial small subunit ribosomal RNA
Source: RNAcentral